UACGUAGGGUGCGAGCGUUAAUCGGAAUUACUGGGCGUAAAGCGUGCGUAGGCGGUUUGCCGUGUCCUGUGUGAAAGCCCCGGGCUCAACCUGGGAAUUGCAUAGGAAACUGGCAGGCUUGAGUGUGGCAGAGGAGGGUGGAAUUCCGCGUGUAGCAGUGAAAUGCGUAGAUAUUGGGAGGAACACCAGUGGCGAAGGCGGCUCACUGGACCGGAACUGACGCUGAGGCGCGAAAGCGUGGGGAGCAAACAGG
This 253-nucleotide ribosomal RNA is filed under the name uncultured bacterium. RNAcentral describes it as "partial 16S ribosomal RNA". It matches the Rfam family "Bacterial small subunit ribosomal RNA", at positions 524 to 776 of the family's 1533-position model. The record is from RNAcentral.